RNAcentral lists this transfer RNA (75 nucleotides) under Streptomyces griseus. RNAcentral describes it as "tRNA-Arg(gcg)". Lineage: Bacteria; Bacillati; Actinomycetota; Actinomycetes; Kitasatosporales; Streptomycetaceae. RNAcentral also lists the same sequence under 4 other names. The record is from RNAcentral.
GACGGGCUGGAGGACGAGCGGGCGUCCGCGCGGCUGCGGGCCGCGCUGGCGGUCGGUUCGGCGCCGGACCCGCGU